RNAcentral lists this ribosomal RNA (373 nucleotides) under uncultured bacterium. Its description in RNAcentral is "bacterial SSU rRNA". It matches the Rfam family "Bacterial small subunit ribosomal RNA", at positions 525 to 896 of the family's 1533-position model. The record is from RNAcentral.
ACGUAGGGAGCAAGCGUUAUCCGGAUUUACUGGGUGUAAAGGGCGAGUAGGCGGGCUGGUAAGUUGGAAGUGAAAUCUCGGGGCUUAACCCCGAAACUGCUUUCAAAACUGCUGGUCUUGAGUGAUGGAGAGGCAGGCGGAAUUCCCAGUGUAGCGGUGAAAUGCGUAGAUAUUGGGAGGAACACCAGUGGCGAAGGCGGCCUGCUGGACAUUAACUGACGCUGAGGAGCGAAAGCGUGGGGAGCAAACAGGAUUAGAUACCCUGGUAGUCCACGCCGUAAACGAUGGAUACUAGGUGUGGGAGGUAUUGACCCCUUCCGUGCCGGAGUUAACACAAUAAGUAUCCCACCUGGGGAGUACGGCCGCAAGGUUG